Molecule: ribosomal RNA, 1002 nt
Filed under: Lyngbya flaviceps
Lineage: Bacteria; Bacillati; Cyanobacteriota; Cyanophyceae; Oscillatoriales; Microcoleaceae
Description: 16S ribosomal RNA
Rfam family: Bacterial small subunit ribosomal RNA
Source: RNAcentral
UUGGGUUGUAAACCCCUUUUCUCAGGGAAGAAGCAAGUGACGGUACCUGAGGAAUCAGCCUCGGCUAACUCCGUGCCAGCAGCCGCGGUAAUACGGAGGAGGCAAGCGUUAUCCGGAAUGAUUGGGCGUAAAGCGUUCGUAGGUGGCAACUCAAGUCUGCUGUCAAAGACCGGAGCUCAACUCCGGAAAGGCAGUGGAAACUGGGUAGCUGGAGUGCGGUAGGGGCAGAGGGAAUUCCCGGUGUAGCGGUGAAAUGCGUAGAGAUCGGGAAGAACACCGGUGGCGAAAGCGCUCUGCUGGGCCGCAACUGACACUGAGGGACGAAAGCUAGGGGAGCGAAUGGGAUUAGAUACCCCAGUAGUCCUAGCUGUAAACGAUGGAAACUAGGUGUUGCCUGUAUCGACCCAGGCAGUGCCGUAGCUAACGCGUUAAGUUUCCCGCCUGGGGAGUACGCACGCAAGUGUGAAACUCAAAGGAAUUGACGGGGGCCCGCACAAGCGGUGGAGUAUGUGGUUUAAUUCGAUGCAACGCGAAGAACCUUACCAGGGCUUGACAUGUCCGGAACUCUGGGGAAACUCAGAGGUGCCUUCGGGAGCCGGAACACAGGUGGUGCAUGGCUGUCGUCAGCUCGUGUCGUGAGAUGUUGGGUUAAGUCCCGCAACGAGCGCAACCCUCGUUCUUAGUUGCCAGCAUUAAGUUGGGCACUCUAGGAAGACUGCCGGUGACAAACCGGAGGAAGGUGGGGAUGACGUCAAGUCAUCAUGCCCCAUACGUCCUGGGCUACACACGUACUACAAUGGUAAGGACAAAGGGCAGCCACUUCGCGAGGAGGAGCUAAUCCCGGAAACCUUGCCUCAGUUCAGAUUGCAGGCUGCAACUCGCCUGCAUGAAGGAGGAAUCGCUAGUAAUCGCAGGUCAGCAUACUGCGGUGAAUCCGUUCCCGGGCCUUGUACACACCGCCCGUCACACCAUGGAAGUUAGCCAUGCCCGAAGUCAUUACUC